GUGCCAGCAGCCGCGGUAAGACGGAGGGUGCAAACGUUGUUCGGAAUCACUGGGCGUAAAGGGCGCGUAGGCGGACUCGUAAGUCGGGAGUGAAAACUCGGGGCUCAACCCCGAGCCUGCUUCCGAAACUGCGAGUCUUGAGGACCGGAGAGGAAAGUGGAAUUCCUAGUGUAGCGGUGGAAUGCGUAGAUAUUAGGAAGAACACCAGUGGCGAAGGCGACUUUCUGGACGGUUCCUGACGCUGAGGCGCGAAAGCUAGGGGAGCAAACAGGAUUAGAUACCCUGGUAGUCCUAGCCGUAAACGAUGAGUGCUAGGUGGUGGUAGUUUCAACACUUUCACCGCCGCAGCCAACGCAUUAAGCACUCCGCCUGGGGAGUACGGCCGCAAGGUUGAA
This 395-nucleotide ribosomal RNA is filed under the name uncultured bacterium. RNAcentral describes it as "bacterial SSU rRNA". It matches the Rfam family "Bacterial small subunit ribosomal RNA", at positions 505 to 898 of the family's 1533-position model. The record is from RNAcentral.